UACGUAGGGGGCAAGCGUUGUCCGGAAUCAUUGGGCGUAAAGAGCGCGUAGGCGGUCCGGUAAGUCCGCUGUGAAAGUCAAAGGCUCAACCUUUGAAUGUCAGCGGAUACUGCCGGGCUAGAGUCCGGAAGAGGCGAGUGGAACUCCUGGUGUAGCGGUGGAAUGCGCAGAUAUCAGGAAGAACACCAACGGCGAAGGCAGCUCGCUGGGACGGAACUGACGCUGAGGCGCGAAAGCGUGGGGAGCGAACAGG
This 253-nucleotide ribosomal RNA is filed under the name uncultured bacterium. Its description in RNAcentral is "partial 16S ribosomal RNA". It matches the Rfam family "Bacterial small subunit ribosomal RNA", at positions 524 to 776 of the family's 1533-position model. The record is from RNAcentral.